AACCAUAGAAACCUGCGGAGUACCUGCGGAAGGAUCAUUACAGGACUCGCAAGACUCCUUAAACCCCUGUGAACUUACUGUUUAUACGUUGCUCCGGCGGGUGCUCCGGGGUCCGCCCCGGGGCGCUGCGCCCGCCGGCAGCCUACUUAAUUCUGUUUCUCUGCGUUGGCAUCUCGAGUAAGCAAAAUAAGUUAAAACUUUCAACAACGGAUCU
Molecule: unclassified non-coding RNA, 214 nt
Filed under: soil metagenome
Description: partial contains 5.8S ribosomal RNA, internal transcribed spacer 2, and large subunit ribosomal RNA
Source: RNAcentral